CAUGUUUGAUCAUGGCUCAGAUUGAACGCUGGCGGCAUGCCUUACACAUGCAAGUCGAACGGCAGCACGGGAGCAAUCCUGGUGGCGAGUGGCGAACGGGUGAGUAAUAUAUCGGAACGUGCCCAAUCGUGGGGGAUAACGUAGCGAAAGCUACGCUAACACCGCAUACGAACUCUGGUUGAAAGCGGGGGAUCGCAAGACCUCGCGCGAUUGGAGCGGCCGAUGGCAGAUUAGGUAGUUGGUGGGGUAAAGGCCUACCAAGCCGACGAUCUGUAGCUGGUCUGAGAGGACGACCAGCCACACUGGGACUGAGACACGGCCCAGACUCCUACGGGAGGCAGCAGUGGGGAAUUUUGGACAAUGGGCGCAAGCCUGAUCCAGCCAUUCCGCGUGCAGGAUGAAGGCCCUCGGGUUGUAAACUGCUUUUGUACGGAACGAAAAGGCUCUGGUUAAUACCUGGGGCUCAUGACGGUACCGUAAGAAUAAGCACCGGCUAACUACGUGCCAGCAGCCGCGGUAAUACGUAGGGUGCGAGCGUUAAUCGGAAUUACUGGGCGUAAAGCGUGCGCAGGCGGUGAUGUAAGACAGGUGUGAAAUCCCCGGGCUUAACCUGGGAACUGCAUUUGUGACUGCAUCGCUGGAGUGCGGCAGAGGGGGAUGGAAUUCCGCGUGUAGCAGUGAAAUGCGUAGAUAUGCGGAGGAACACCGAUGGCGAAGGCAAUCCCCUGGGCCUGCACUGACGCUCAUGCACGAAAGCGUGGGGAGCAAACAGGAUUAGAUACCCUGGUAGUCCACGCCCUAAACGAUGUCAACUGGUUGUUGGGUCUUCACUGACUCAGUAACGAAGCUAACGCGUGAAGUUGACCAAUAGCUUGAGUAUUC
RNAcentral lists this ribosomal RNA (882 nucleotides) under uncultured bacterium. RNAcentral's name for it is "bacterial SSU rRNA". It matches the Rfam family "Bacterial small subunit ribosomal RNA", at positions 9 to 873 of the family's 1533-position model. The record is from RNAcentral.